GCUCUCAGCAGGGCGGCCAAGAGAGGCAGCCCUCACUUCCCAGAAAACUUCAAUUCCUCAUUACCUGUGUCAGCUGGGGUUCAAUCAGGAGACAGAAACCACACCAGUUAGUUUGAAAAGAGAAUUCAGCAUAAGGAACUGAUAAUGAGGUAUGAAGUUGUUAAUUAGGUAAGGAGAGGGUAAGGAGAGAGAAGAGUAAGCUUUCAUGGGGGUUGCACCUGCAGGAGCAGCUACCACUCCAGGGCUGGAGAACCCUAAGGAAGAGUUUUGAAGGAGGGUUCCAGAGCCUGUGACCCAGACAUCUGAGGAGGGGGCUCAACUCAGCGGGAGCUGGGGUCUCCGGGUGUGAAGAAAGGACUCCUGCACCCAGACCUCUGCGGAAGGGGCACCUGCCAGCUGGUGCUGGGGUCUCUCAGGCUUCAUUUGCAUCAGAGGUGGGACAGCUUGUUACAUAUCACCCUUGGCUGUGAUCAUAGCCUCAGAUGCUUCUCAACUGGAGCAAACUCAAGCAGGCUGUUUGAAAACAUUUUGAAAACCUCCCAGCCAGAAACCUUGUUCCAGCAGUGCAGAGCAGCUCAGGUCCUGCCUUGAAUCAAAAGGAAGGAGACUGAGCCUCUCAGAGGACCAGGAACCAAGCCAAGGCUUGACAAAACCAGCCUCUCUCUCUCUGCUGUCUGGAAAGGCAGGCACUGAGAGAGAUGACCUUGGCCAGGCCAUGCAGGAAGACGGGAAAAUUGCUUACAGCUCUGACAGGAGCUGCACCCUGCAAAAAACAGCCUUUGGAUUGUUGACUCACCAAACUAGCCAGUUCGUGUUAAUGCAGCUGUGACACAGGAUGGCUUUGCUGCCUCCUAGGUGGUGAGACAAAGGGACGUGAGGAGGGGGCAAAAGGGAACGCAGAAAAAUACCUGGUUCAUGCAGACCUGUGGGAACAGCUGCCAAACAAAAAUUACUGAGGACAUUUGUGAGGGUAACUGGCGGAGAUCUUACCAGAGAUUUGAACUGUAAAGGAAAGUGGUAAAGUUUUAUUUAGGACACCCCAAGGCGGAGCUGAGCACGGUGGAAGGUCCAACUCGAUUCUCGAAUAGUAAGAGAACAAAGUAUCUGGAUACACUUCUCAUGCUCAUUCAUCCUGUGCCAUGUAAUUGGGGUUCAAAACUAGGAUGGAAAACCUAAAAAAAAAUUAUUAGUGAAUGAGGAAGUGGCAAAAGAAAAAAAAAUUUACUCAACAAAGACAAAGGUUCCUUGGGCACUUAGAAUGCACUGGGCACUGUGUUAGGGGUAUUGAGUGGACAAGAGUGAUCACCAGCUUCCAGUCCAGAGAGAAGGGCAGAUGUAGGAUAAGGAGAACCAGGAUGGACACCGAGCAGCAGGAGUUCCAUGUGUUACAAGUUCUGUCCCCAAGGGCCUCUCUGCCUGAGGGUCUCCCGCUGGGACGGCCAUCUUCGUUACCACUGCUCUACCUGCACUUGCGGCUCCCUUAUGGAAGUGGGUAUUUCUGGGCUCUGCCCUCGGAGAGUCUGCUUUCAUCUGCAUGGGGAAGGAAAUCUGUAUUUUUUUCCCCGGGCUCUCCAGGUAAUUAUGGUAAGCUGGGUCUGGAACACUUCCUCUCGUAGACUCAGGUUAGAAAGUUGCUGGGUGGUACAAAGUCCAUGCUGAGAAGGCACAGUUGAAUACAUCCUGCUCUCCUGUAGGAGAUCCUGAGUGUCCUCUCCUCUGGGAGCCAGCCUAGAUGGUGUUAGGGUCCCUCCUCUGUGCUACACUAGUGAUCUGGGCCCGCUUGCUUUAGCACAGUCUGUUAUCAUGCUGGCUUAUUCUAGGUCUCUGCCAUUAGGCUCUGAAUUCCAACAUGGCUGUUGUAUCUCACUCACCUCCUUUUCCCUGGUGUUUGGCAUAAAGGGUAUACAAUAAAUAUCUGUUGCUAAAUGAGGGAGGGGAGCGCGUUUUUUUUGAGAUAGAGUCUCACUCUGUCGCCCAGGCUGGAAUGCAGUGGCACG
RNAcentral lists this long non-coding RNA (1997 nucleotides) under Homo sapiens (human). RNAcentral describes it as "HSALNT0365602". Lineage: Eukaryota; Metazoa; Chordata; Mammalia; Primates; Hominidae. The record is from RNAcentral.